CGUGGGUGUGGCUACCGCUACAACUCGAUUUGCAACGAGUGAGUAAGAGGAGCUGCUGAUAAAGGCAUUUCAGGUCUAGUAGUAAUAUAAUUAUAAGAACUCCAUUGGAGACAGCAGGUGGUACUAAGAUGGUUCAGACUUACAAGAUAGCAGUCCUUGGAGAUGGAGGAGUAGGAAAAUCAGCAAUCACCAUUCAGUUCACUAGUGGUAUCUUUGCAACUGACUAUGACCCAACAAUAGAGGAUGCUUAUAGGAUUGAUGUUGAGGUUGAUGGUGAAGUGGUUGGUUUAGACAUUA
Molecule: long non-coding RNA, 297 nt
Organism: Amphimedon queenslandica
Lineage: Eukaryota; Metazoa; Porifera; Demospongiae; Haplosclerida; Niphatidae
Exons: 4
Source: RefSeq, a predicted model, not a curated record